AUGACCCGAGAUCAGCGGUCCACCCGGAAAACUCCCGGUGCUCCAGAUGGCCAGUCCGCCACUGCCAUCUCCAAACGGGAAGGUGUUCACUGUGUUGAGCUGACCCAGCCUGCAUCCUCAGUAGUAACCCCUGGUCAGUCACUGACUCUGACCUGUAAAUUGUCUGGAUAUUCAGUUACUGAUAGCUACUAUACAGGCUGGAUACGACAACCUGCAGGAAAAACUCUGGAGUGGAUCGGACAGAUAUGGGGUGGUAGUGGUAGCACUUACUACAGUGAGAAACUGAAAAGCAGGUUUCAGAUUUCCAGAGACACGUCCAGCAACACAAUAACAUUAAGAGGACAGAACAUGCAGACUGAAGACACAGCUGUGUAUUACUGCGCUCGGGAACCCACAGUGAGACAGAUCAACAACAUCCCUAACAUCAACUAA
Non-coding RNA from Clarias gariepinus (North African catfish), 432 nucleotides. The record is from the annotation of a RefSeq genome assembly. NCBI's taxonomy places the organism in Eukaryota, Metazoa, Chordata, Actinopteri, Siluriformes, Clariidae.